GAUGAACGCUAGCGGCAGGCCUAAUACAUGCAAGUCGAACGAGAUUAAGAGGCUUGCUUCUUAUGAAAGUGGCGCACGGGUGCGUAACGCGUAUGCAACCUACCUUAAUCAGGGGGAUAGCCCGAAGAAAUUCGGAUUAAGACCGCAUAAAAACACAGGAUAGCAUUAUCCAAUGUUCAAAUAUUUAUAGGAUUAAGAUGGGCAUGCGUGUCAUUAGCUAGUUGGCGGGGUAACGGCCCACCAAGGCGACGAUGACUAGGGGAUCUGAGAGGAUGACCCCCCACACUGGUACUGAGACCCGGCCCAGACUCCUACGGGGGGCAGCAGGAAGGAAUAUUGGGAAAGGGAGGGAACCCUGAACCAGCCAUGCCGGGUGAAGGAAGACAGCCCUCUGGGUCGUAAACUGCUUUUAUUCGGGAAUAAACCUUUCUACGUGUAGGAAGCUGAAUGUACCGAAGGAAUAAGGAUCGGCUAACUCCGU
RNAcentral lists this ribosomal RNA (481 nucleotides) under uncultured bacterium. Its description in RNAcentral is "partial 16S ribosomal RNA". It matches the Rfam family "Bacterial small subunit ribosomal RNA", at positions 28 to 506 of the family's 1533-position model. The record is from RNAcentral.